UUGGGGAGGUUGCUGCUGGGAGAUAAUUUUUAGGUCCAGGAAGCGCUCGGAAGCAGUCAAUAUAGCAGUAAGCAUCUUCCAGCACCCUGUUAUGGAGAGAAGAGUAUUGGGGUUUAUGGUGAGAACUGUAUCGCAUUGUGGAGCACUAACCAGUUUUUACUGCGGAAGACGACAAGCUUCAUUCUGUGUGUGAUGGGCGGUUGGGAACCAUACCCUUCAAUAUGAAAACUUGCCAGCUUCUAAGUGUUCCACACAGAGGUCAGCACCUUCACUGUCUCCAGCUCAAUCUCUAGGUACACCUACCUAUAUAUGCAAAAAUCAAUUGAGUGAAACCACUAGUUUGAUUAUCCAUUAGAUGCAUUCUUGAUCAAACAUUAGAGCAGUAGUACCCGUGUGAUUUACAAUAUGGGUAUUUUUACUGGAUGCUGUAAAAAUAACAGUUUGCUUUUGUUCACGUCAAUGACCAUGAUAACACAUUAAUGGCUAUAAAAGAAAUAAUGAAAUUAGCUGAACAAACGCGAGUUAUCAACAACCUAUGGCAUAACUAGCAAAACCAUCAG
Molecule: long non-coding RNA, 560 nt
Organism: Dreissena polymorpha
Lineage: Eukaryota; Metazoa; Mollusca; Bivalvia; Myida; Dreissenidae
Exons: 2
Source: RefSeq, a predicted model, not a curated record